GACGAACGCUGGCGGCGUGCUUAACACAUGCAAGUCAAGGGGGCCCGCAAGGGCAACCGGCGAACGGGUGCGUAACACGUGAGCAACCUACCCAUUUGUGGGGGAUAGCCGGCCCAACGGCCGGGUAAUACCGCAUACGUUCAUCGCGCGGCAUCGCGUGGUGAGGAAAGCCUUCGGGCGCAGAUGGAGGGGCUCGCGGCCUAUCAGCUAGUUGGUGAGGUAACGGCUCACCAAGGCGACGACGGGUAGCUGGUCUGAGAGGAUGGCCAGCCACAUUGGGACUGCGACACGGCCCAGACUCCUACGGGAGGCAGCAGUGGGGAAUCUUGCGCAAUGGCCGAAAGGCUGACGCAGCGACGCCGCGUGUGGGAUGAAGCUCUUCGGGGUGUAAACCGCUGUUGCCCGGGACGAACGGGCGGAUUUAUCCGCCGUGACGGUACCGGGUGAGGAAGCACCGGCUAACUCCGUGCCAGCAGCCGCGGUAAUACGGAGGGUGCGAG
Molecule: ribosomal RNA, 500 nt
Filed under: uncultured bacterium
Lineage: Bacteria
Description: bacterial SSU rRNA
Rfam family: Bacterial small subunit ribosomal RNA
Source: RNAcentral